GUCGCAAGCGUUAUCCGGAAUUAUUGGGCAUAAAGGGCAUCUAGGCGGCCAGAUAAGUCUGGGGUGAAAACUUGCGGCUCAACCGCAAGCCUGCCCUGGAAACUAUGUGGCUAGAGUACUGGAGAGGUGGACGGAACUGCACGAGUAGAGGUGAAAUUCGUAGAUAUGUGCAGGAAUGCCGAUGAUGAAGAUAGUUCACUGGACGGUAACUGACGCUGAAGUGCGAAAGCUAGGGGAGCAAACAGGAUUAGAUACCCUGGUAGUCCUAGCUGUAAACGAUGAUUACUGGGUGUGGGCAUGAAGAGUGUCCGUGCCGAAGCUAAUGCGAUAAGUAAUCCGCCUGGGGAGUACGGCCGCAAGGCUGAAACUCAAAGGAAUUGACGGGGGCCCGCACAAGCGGUGGAGUAUGUGGUUUAAUUCGACGCAACGCGAAGAACCUUACCAGGUCUUGACAUUGAUGGACAGAACUAGAGAUAG
This 477-nucleotide ribosomal RNA is filed under the name uncultured bacterium. Its description in RNAcentral is "bacterial SSU rRNA". It matches the Rfam family "Bacterial small subunit ribosomal RNA", at positions 531 to 1009 of the family's 1533-position model. The record is from RNAcentral.